GAACGUUGGCGGCGUGGAUUAGGCAUGCAAGUCGAGCGCUCAUCAGCAAUGGUGGGAGCGGCGAACGGCGUAGUAAUGUGUAGGAACGUACCCUCUGGACGGGGAUAGCUACGGGAAACUGUAGGUAAUACCCGAUGAUCUCUGCGGAGCAAAGGUGUGAUUCCGCCGGAGGAGCGGCUUACAUGAUAUUAGCUAGUUGGUGGGGUAAUGGCCUACCAAGGCGAUGAUGUCCAGGGGGUGUGAGAGCAUGGCCCCCACGACCGGAACUGAGAUACUGUCCGGACACCUACGGGUGGCUGCAGUCGAGAAUCUUCCGCAAUGGACGAAAGUCUGACGGAGCGACGCCGCGUGCGGGAUGAAGGCCCUUGGGUUGUAAACCGCUGUCAGAGGGGAUGAAAUCUCCGGAGGUUCUCCUCCGGAGUUGACAGAGCCUCAGAGGAAGCACGGGCUAAGUAUGUGCCAGCAGCCGCGGUAAUACAUACUGUGCGAACGUUAUUCGGAAUCACUGGGCUUAAAGGGUGCGUAGGCGGUGGUUCAAGUCAGAUGUGAAAUGCCUGAGCUCAACUGAGGCAUUGCGUUUGAAACUGGAUCGCUUGAGUAUCCCAGGGGUGUGCGGAACUGCCAGUGGAGCGGUGAAAUGUGUUGA
Molecule: ribosomal RNA, 646 nt
Filed under: uncultured bacterium
Lineage: Bacteria
Description: bacterial SSU rRNA
Rfam family: Bacterial small subunit ribosomal RNA
Source: RNAcentral